AAAUUAAAACAAGUAUUGUAUGUACUGUGUUAUAAUUUAAAACGCUUAAUUAUGUUAGUCCUAAAAAGAUUAAGCCCAAAAGAGAUAUACUUGUUUACAGUGCAAAUUAAUGGCAAUAGGGAUUUACGAUUUCAUUUGCAGGAAAAACAUGGGCAACCUACCCAGUUGGUAAAAUUUCAAUUCAAAAACUCUUUAGAUUUUACUGUGUGGAUGGCACAGGAAGAGAAACAAAAUAAUAUUCAGUACUGCAGUCACAGGAGUACAAAAACAUGAAGCAUCUUAUUAUGUAUGUAUGCCAUUCUCAAACAAUAAUUAUUGUACAAAACAAGAUAAAGACACAGCUUUAAAAUCCCAAGGAUCCUGCGAAAAGAAAAGUGAAAAUGUCUCAAUUAAUGUAGUAUAGAUAGACAUUUUUCUUUAUUUUAGUAUUAAAUAAUUAUUUAGAAUAUUAAUAUGUAUUAGUUUUAAUAGUAUUCAUAUGUAUUAGUUUUAAUAGUAUUAAUAUGUAUUGUAUGAAUAAUUCCCAUCAUGUAUCUGCUAACUAAAGCAACAAAAUAAAUCAAAAUGAAAAAACAUUUCAGUGACGUAGCACCUUUACUUUACCUGGCGGCGAGGUGAGUUAUUAGGUAAAUUCUAUUUUCUUACAUAAUAUACUUAAAAAUUAAUGGUGGUAUUAUUGUGGUUUAUAUUGAAAGCUAAAGCAAUUAAAAUAAUUUUUUCUGUUAAUUAUUUAACACAUUCACAGACACGACUGCAUAUGAAGUCAUUUGCUCCAUAAGAAGACGUGGCUACAGGCAAAGCGUGUCCGUAAAUGUGUUAAUAAUAAUAAUUUUACAUCUAUUGUGUUACACAUACAUUUUACUAUUAAAGACAAUUAUGAAAAUGUCAAAAACGCCCACAAAGUGGCUUUAAGUUUUAUUACACAGUAUGUGGACUUCAAAUAGGACGAUUAUGUUAAGUAUGAGCAGAACAAAGACUAACAAUUAAUGUUUUAUUGUCAUAGGUUGUCUUUUUUCAUUAUAUUUAAUGCAGCUUU
RNAcentral lists this long non-coding RNA (1036 nucleotides) under Diabrotica virgifera virgifera (western corn rootworm). RNAcentral's name for it is "uncharacterized LOC126887134". Lineage: Eukaryota; Metazoa; Arthropoda; Insecta; Coleoptera; Chrysomelidae. The record is from RNAcentral.